AGGACGAACGCUGGCGGCGUGCCUAACACAUGCAAGUCGAGCGAGGAGAUUCCUCGGGAUGAUCCUAGCGGCGGACGGGUGAGUAACACGUGGGCAACCUGCCUCAUAGAGAGGAAUAGCCUUCCGAAAGGGAGAUUAAUACCUCAUAACAUUGCAGUUUCGCAUGGAACAGCAAUUAAAGGAGUAAUCCGCUAUGAGAUGGGCCCGCGGCGCAUUAGCUAGUUGGUGAGGUAACGGCUCACCAAGGCGACGAUGCGUAGCCGACCUGAGAGGGUGAUCGGCCACAUUGGGACUGAGACACGGCCCAGACUCCUACGGGAGGCAGCAGUGGGGAAUAUUGCGCAAUGGGGGAAACCCUGAUGCCAGCAACGCCGCGUGAGUGAUGACGGCCUUCGGGUUGUAAAGCUCUGUCUUCAGGGACGAUAAUGACGGUACCUGAGGAGGAAGCCACGGCUAACUACGUGCCAGCCGCCGC
RNAcentral lists this ribosomal RNA (475 nucleotides) under uncultured bacterium. Its description in RNAcentral is "bacterial SSU rRNA". It matches the Rfam family "Bacterial small subunit ribosomal RNA", at positions 26 to 518 of the family's 1533-position model. The record is from RNAcentral.